ACUAAGCGUACACGGUGGAUGCCCUGGCAGUCAGAGGCGAUGAAGGACGUGCUAAUCUGCGAUAAGCGUCGGUAAGGUGAUAUGAACCGUUAUAACCGGCGAUUUCCGAAUGGGGAAACCCAGUGUGAUUCGUCACACUAUCAUUAACUGAAUCCAUAGGUUAAUGAGGCGAACCGGGGGAACUGAAACAUCUAAGUACCCCGAGGAAAAGAAAUCAACCGAGAUUCCCCCAGUAGCGGCGAGCGAACGGGGAGCAGCCCAGAGCCUGAAUCAGUGUGUGUGUUAGUGGAAGCGUCUGGAAAGGCGUGCGAUACAGGGUGACAGCCCCGUACACAAAAAUGCACAUAUUGUGAGCUCGAUGAGUAGGGCGGGACACGUGGUAUCCUGUCUGAAUAUGGGGGACCAUCCUCCAAGGCUAAAUACUCCUGACUGACCGAUAGUGAACCAGUACCGUGAGGGAAAGGCGAAAAGAACCCCGGCGAGGGGAGUGAAAAAGAACCUGAAACCGUGUACGUACAAGCAGUGGGAGCACGCUUAGGCGUGUGACUGCGUACCUUUUGUAUAAUGGGUCAGCGACUUAUAUUCUGUAGCAAGGUUAACCGAAUAGGGAGCCGAAGGGAAACCGAGUCUUAACUGGGCGUUAAGUUGCAGGGUAUAGACCCGAAACCCGGUGAUCUAGCCAUGGGCAGGUUGAAGGUUGGGUAACACUAACUGGAGGACCGAACCGACUAAUGUUGAAAAAUUAGCGGAUGACUUGUGGCUGGGGGUGAAAGGCCAAUCAAACCGGGAGAUAGCUGGUUCUCCCCGAAAGCUAUUUAGGUAGCGCCUCGUGAAUUCAUCUCCGGGGGUAGAGCACUGUUUCGGCAAGGGGGUCAUCCCGACUUACCAACCCGAUGCAAACUGCGAAUACCGGAGAAUGUUAUCACGGGAGACACACGGCGGGUGCUAACGUCCGUCGUGAAGAGGGAAACAACCCAGACCGCCAGCUAAGGUCCCAAAGUCAUGGUUAAGUGGGAAACGAUGUGGGAAGGCCCAGACAGCCAGGAUGUUGGCUUAGAAGCAGCCAUCAUUUAAAGAAAGCGUAAUAGCUCACUGGUCGAGUCGGCCUGCGCGGAAGAUGUAACGGGGCUAAACCAUGCACCGAAGCUGCGGCAGCGACACUAUGUGUUGUUGGGUAGGGGAGCGUUCUGUAAGCCUGUGAAGGUGUACUGUGAGGUAUGCUGGAGGUAUCAGAAGUGCGAAUGCUGACAUAAGUAACGAUAAAGCGGGUGAAAAGCCCGCUCGCCGGAAGACCAAGGGUUCCUGUCCAACGUUAAUCGGGGCAGGGUGAGUCGACUCCUAAGGCGAGGCCGAAAGGCGUAGUCGAUGGGAAACAGGUUAAUAUUCCUGUACUUGGUGUUACUGCGAAGGGGGACGGAGAAGGCUAUGUUGGCCGGGCGACGGUUGUCCCGGUUUAAGCGUGUAGGCUGGUUUUCCAGGCAAAUCCGGAAAACUAAGGCUGAGGCGUGAUGACGAGGCACUACGGUGCUGAAGCAACAAAUGCCCUGCUUCCAGGAAAAGCCUCUAAGCAUCAGGUAACAUCAAAUCGUACCCCAAACCGACACAGGUGGUCAGGUAGAGAAUACCAAGGCGCUUGAGAGAACUCGGGUGAAGGAACUAGGCAAAAUGGUGCCGUAACUUCGGGAGAAGGCACGCUGAUAUGUAGGUGAAGUCCCUCGCGGAUGGAGCUGAAAUCAGUCGAAGAUACCAGCUGGCUGCAACUGUUUAUUAAAAACACAGCACUGUGCAAACACGAAAGUGGACGUAUACGGUGUGACGCCUGCCCGGUGCCGGAAGGUUAAUUGAUGGGGUCAGCGCAAGCGAAGCUCUUGAUCGAAGCCCCGGUAAACGGCGGCCGUAACUAUAACGGUCCUAAGGUAGCGAAAUUCCUUGUCGGGUAAGUUCCGACCUGCACGAAUGGCGUAAUGAUGGCCAGGCUGUCUCCACCCGAGACUCAGUGAAAUUGAACUCGCUGUGAAGAUGCAGUGUACCCGCGGCAAGACGGAAAGACCCCGUGAACCUUUACUAUAGCUUGACACUGAACAUUGAGCCUUGAUGUGUAGGAUAGGUGGGAGGCUUUGAAGUGUGGACGCCAGUCUGCAUGGAGCCGACCUUGAAAUACCACCCUUUAAUGUUUGAUGUUCUAACGUUGACCCGUAAUCCGGGUUGCGGACAGUGUCUGGUGGGUAGUUUGACUGGGGCGGUCUCCUCCUAAAGAGUAACGGAGGAGCACGAAGGUUGGCUAAUCCUGGUCGGACAUCAGGAGGUUAGUGCAAUGGCAUAAGCCAGCUUGACUGCGAGCGUGACGGCGCGAGCAGGUGCGAAAGCAGGUCAUAGUGAUCCGGUGGUUCUGAAUGGAAGGGCCAUCGCUCAACGGAUAAAAGGUACUCCGGGGAUAACAGGCUGAUACCGCCCAAGAGUUCAUAUCGACGGCGGUGUUUGGCACCUCGAUGUCGGCUCAUCACAUCCUGGGGCUGAAGUAGGUCCCAAGGGUAUGGCUGUUCGCCAUUUAAAGUGGUACGCGAGCUGGGUUUAGAACGUCGUGAGACAGUUCGGUCCCUAUCUGCCGUGGGCGCUGGAGAACUGAGGGGGCUGCUCCUAGUACGAGAGGACCGGAGUGGACGCAUCACUGGUGUUCGGGUUGUCAUGCCAAUGGCACUGCCCGGUAGCUAAAUGCGGAAGAGAUAAGUGCUGAAAGCAUCUAAGCACGAAACUUGCCCCGAGAUGAGUUCUCCCUGACUCCUUGAGAGUCCUGAAGGAACGUUGAAGACGACGACGUUGAUAGGCCGGGUGUGUAAGCGCAGCGAUGCGUUGAGCUAACCGGUACUAAUGAACCGUGAGGCUUAACC
This 2888-nucleotide ribosomal RNA is filed under the name Shigella dysenteriae. RNAcentral's name for it is "bacterial LSU rRNA". It matches the Rfam family "Bacterial large subunit ribosomal RNA". The record is from RNAcentral. Lineage: Bacteria; Pseudomonadati; Pseudomonadota; Gammaproteobacteria; Enterobacterales; Enterobacteriaceae.